AUGAUUGCAACCUGUUACGGAAGAGUCAACCUGUUACAACAUAUAUGUGAGCAAUUUAAAUCAAAAUACUCGACCGAUAUUUUCAUCUCAAUUCACAUGUUUAUUUGCAUGCUGAUAAACAACAAUGUUUUCUGCAUCAACUUCAUCUUUAGUGUGCUUAUUCAAUUGUUGUUACAUAACUCAAGGAAAAAUAAAUAUAUAAUUCAAUACCAUUUCCAGUUUGAAACGGAUAGAUACUUAGAAUACCUCUGCAUUAGUAUAAAACAGUAA
This is a non-coding RNA of Vicia faba (fava bean), 270 nucleotides long. The record is from the annotation of a GenBank genome assembly. Lineage: Eukaryota; Viridiplantae; Streptophyta; Magnoliopsida; Fabales; Fabaceae.